AUUGAACGCUGGCGGCAGGCCUAACACAUGCAAGUCGAGCGGAUGAAGGGAGCUUGCUCUUGGAUUCAGCGGCGGACGGGUGAGUAAUGCCUAGGAAUCUUCCUGGUAGUGGGGGAUUACGUCCGGAAACGGGCGCUAAUACCGCAUACGUCCUGAGGGCGAAAGUGUGGGAUCUUCGGACCUCACGCUAUCAGAUGAGCCUAGGUCGGAUUAUCUAGUUGGUGGGGUAAUGGGCUACCAAGGCGACGAUCCGUAACUGGUCUGCGAGGAUGAUCAGUCACACGGGAGCGUAGACACGGUCAAGACGACUAAGGGAGGCAGCAGUGGGGAAUGUUGGACAAUGGGCGAAAGCAUGAUCCAGCGAUGGAGCGUGUGUGAAGAAGGUCUUCGGAUAGUAAAGAACUUUAAGUUGGGAGAAAGGGCAGUAAGUUAAUAAGUAGCUAUUUUGACGGUACCAACAGAAUAAGCGCCGGCUAACUUCGUG
RNAcentral lists this ribosomal RNA (484 nucleotides) under uncultured bacterium. Its description in RNAcentral is "partial 16S ribosomal RNA". It matches the Rfam family "Bacterial small subunit ribosomal RNA", at positions 30 to 507 of the family's 1533-position model. The record is from RNAcentral.